UGGGGGAUAUUGCACAAUGGGGGGAACCCGUGAUGCAGCGACGCCGCGUGGGUGAAGAAGCGCUUCGGCGCGUAAAGCCCUGUCAGCAGGGAAGAAAAUGACGGUACCUGAAGAAGAAGCCCCGGCUAACUACGUGCC
Molecule: ribosomal RNA, 138 nt
Filed under: uncultured bacterium
Lineage: Bacteria
Description: partial 16S ribosomal RNA
Rfam family: Bacterial small subunit ribosomal RNA
Source: RNAcentral